This 329-nucleotide unclassified non-coding RNA is filed under the name soil metagenome. Its description in RNAcentral is "partial contains 5.8S ribosomal RNA, internal transcribed spacer 2, and large subunit ribosomal RNA". The stretch from base 1 to 120 matches the Rfam family "5.8S ribosomal RNA", at positions 35 to 154 of the family's 154-position model. The record is from RNAcentral.
GAUGAAGAACGCAGCGAAAUGCGAUAAGUAAUGUGAAUUGCAGAACUCAGUGAAUCAUCGAAUCUUUGAACGCACAUUGCGCCCCCUGGCCUUCCGGGGGGCAUGCCUGUUCGAGCGUCAUUACAACCCUCAAGCUCUGCUUGGUCUUGGGCGUCACCGGUCCCCGGUGUGCCUUAAAAUCAGUGGCGGCGCCAUCUGGCUCUAAGCGUAGUACAUACUCUCGCUACAGACGUCCGGUGGAUGCUGGCCAGCAACCCCCAAUUUAUCAAGGUUGACCUCGGAUCAGGUAGGGAUACCCGCUGAACUUAAGCAUAUCAAUAAGCGGAGGA